Molecule: long non-coding RNA, 410 nt
Filed under: Amazona collaria (yellow-billed parrot)
Lineage: Eukaryota; Metazoa; Chordata; Aves; Psittaciformes; Psittacidae
Description: lncRNA (ENSACOG00000013712.1)
Source: RNAcentral
GGUGCAGGCUACAAGAGCGGUACAAGCACCUUCAGGUCGUGAUACAAGUUCUUCUUGGGGCCUCUCCAGCGACAGAAAGCCCAGCUUACUCCGCUGUUGAAAAAUGAGGUGUAGGUGAGGCAAUGCCUCAUUGCAGUAAGGAUAGUUUUUCACAGGAAUCCUUCCUGGAAUUUCAUCUGUGGAAAAUCCACUUGGAGAGCUUACAACCUACUGACGAGCAGGGAUAAAGACAAAACACUCGUUUACCAAGUCCGAGGUAUGGUCGUUCAUUUUAAUUUCCUGGCCUGUGGUUGUUUUCAUAAUCUUGGCCAUUAUCCGCCUCAAAUUCCCUCCGGAACCACAGCCAAACUGUUAUCUUGCACCUCGAAACCUUCCUAGUGCAGGCUUCUUCCCAUUCCUGCAAACCGUGC